RNAcentral lists this ribosomal RNA (469 nucleotides) under uncultured bacterium. RNAcentral's name for it is "bacterial SSU rRNA". It matches the Rfam family "Bacterial small subunit ribosomal RNA", at positions 335 to 797 of the family's 1533-position model. The record is from RNAcentral.
ACUCCUACGGGAGGCAGCAGUGGGGAAUAUUGCACAAUGGGGGAAACCCUGAUGCAGCCAUGCCGCGUGUGUGAAGAAGGCCUUCGGGUUGUAAAGCACUUUCAGUAGGGAGGAAGGUAGUGUAGUUAACACCUGCACUAUUUGACGUUACCUACAGAAGAAGCACCGGCUAACUCCGUGCCAGCAGCCGCGGUAAUACGGAGGGUGCGAGCGUUAAUCGGAAUUACUGGGCGUAAAGCGCAUGCAGGCGGCCUGUUAAGUCAGAUGUGAAAGCCCGGGGCUUAACCUCGGAAUUGCAUUUGAAACUGGCAGGCUAGAGUCUUGUAGAGGGGUUAGAAUUUCAGGUGUAGCGGUGAAAUGCGUAGAGAUCUGAAGGAAUACCAGUGGCGAAGGCGGCCCCUGGACAAAGACUGACGCUCAGAUGCGAAAGCGUGGGAGCAAACAGGAUUAGAUACCCCUGGUAGCGACU